Molecule: long non-coding RNA, 541 nt
Filed under: Bos taurus (domestic cattle)
Lineage: Eukaryota; Metazoa; Chordata; Mammalia; Artiodactyla; Bovidae
Description: long non-coding RNA NONBTAT015056
Source: RNAcentral
UUUUUUGGGGGGUGGUAUAUUCUAAUACUUCAUCAGUAACCCAAAAAAGUGAGAAAGUCACAGCUCCUGGUAGGCCUUCUUCCUAAUAAGGGACAUGGCUAAAGAGAUGCUUUCCAUUUGUUGAUAACUAGUAGAUUUAUGUUCUCAUUCAAUAUGUCUUUCAUUAAUAUAAGCAGCACAAUGAAAAAUUUCAUACUGUGAUAAGUAUAAACAGAUCACUGAUUUGAGAGAAACUGAAAAUUUUUCUUGGGGAUUAUUAAUGGAAACAUUAUGCUCCUUAUUAAAUUUGCAGACACAUGUAUUUGAAUAAUUACCCACUGAUUUUAUGAAGCUUGGAGGGAAUAGAAUCUUCCCUUUUUGAGUGUAGAAAUCUAGAAUAUAGUGAGUUCAGAACACUCAAGCCUAGAAAAUGCUUUAAUAUAUCUAAAGCUACAUGAAAGGAACAUACAACCAAAUGGCAACCCCAAUAAUCAUGAGAUCACUGAUAUAAGGAACAAAACUAAUGAGAAGAAAAGAUAGUUUUCCAUCUGCCAAUUUUGCU